RNAcentral lists this ribosomal RNA (654 nucleotides) under uncultured Lachnospiraceae bacterium. RNAcentral describes it as "bacterial SSU rRNA". It matches the Rfam family "Bacterial small subunit ribosomal RNA", at positions 66 to 734 of the family's 1533-position model. The record is from RNAcentral. Lineage: Bacteria; Bacillati; Bacillota; Clostridia; Lachnospirales; Lachnospiraceae.
AUGAAGUUUUCGGAUGGAUUCCUGGUUGACUGAGUGGCGGACGGGUGAGUAACGCGUGGAUAACCUGCCCCACACUGGGGGAUAACAGUUAGAAAUGGCUGCUAAUACCGCAUAAGCGCACAGUACCGCAUGGUACGGUGUGAAAAACCCAGGUGGUGUGAGAUGGAUCCGCGUCUGAUUAGCCAGUUGGCGGGGUAACGGCCCACCAAAGCGACGAUCAGUAGCCGACCUGAGAGGGUGACCGGCCACAUUGGGACUGAGACACGGCCCAAACUCCUACGGGAGGCAGCAGUGGGGAAUAUUGCACAAUGGGCGAAAGCCUGAUGCAGCGACGCCGCGUGAGUGAAGAAGUAUCUCGGUAUGUAAAGCUCUAUCAGCAGGGAAGAAAAUGACGGUACCUGACUAAGAAGCCCCGGCUAACUACGUGCCAGCAGCCGCGGUAAUACGUAAGGGGCAAGCGUUAUCCGGAUUUACUGGGUGUAAAGGGAGCGUAGACGGCGACGCAAGUCUGGAGUGAAAGCCCGGGGCCCAACCCCGGGACUGCUUUGGAAACUGUGCUGCUGGAGUGCAGGAGAGGUAAGUGGAAUUCCUAGUGUAGCGGUGAAAUGCGUAGAUAUUAGGAGGAACACCAGUGGCGAAGGCGGCUUACUGGAC